RNAcentral lists this long non-coding RNA (227 nucleotides) under Elaeis guineensis (African oil palm). Its description in RNAcentral is "long non-coding RNA (EGUI_LNC061429)". The record is from RNAcentral. Lineage: Eukaryota; Viridiplantae; Streptophyta; Magnoliopsida; Arecales; Arecaceae.
UUUGCUAUGCAUCCAUAGGUAGAGACCCUCUAUUUAUAGAUGAUUUUUAUGAUCCAAUAAGUAUAGGAGUCCUAACUCAAAUUUGAUUUUAAUUAGUCCAAUACUCAUGAAAGAAGGAUUCCUACAUGAGAUAGAAUUACCAUCACUUAGACAACCAAUUUGCACCCACUCCCUCACCCACAUGGGAUGCCCCAAACUAGCACCAUUCUAGGUGUUAGUCUGCCCAC